RNAcentral lists this ribosomal RNA (496 nucleotides) under uncultured bacterium. Its description in RNAcentral is "partial 16S ribosomal RNA". It matches the Rfam family "Bacterial small subunit ribosomal RNA", at positions 28 to 506 of the family's 1533-position model. The record is from RNAcentral.
GAUGAACGCUGGCGGCGUGCCUAAUACAUGCAAGUCGAGCGAACGGACGAGAAGCUUGCUUUUCUGAUGUUAGCGGCGGACGGGUGAGUAACACGUGGAUAACCUACCUAUAAGACUGGGAUAACUUCGGGAAACCGGAGCUAAUACCGGAUAAUAUUUUGAACCGCAUGGUUCAAAAGUGAAAGACGGUCUUGCUGUCACUUAUAGAUGGAUCCGCGCUGCAUUAGCUAGUUGGUAAGGUAACGGCUUACCAAGGCAACGAUGCAUAGCCGACCUGAGAGGGGGAGCGGCCACACCGGAAACGGGACACGGUCCCAACACCCUCGGGGGGGGCACGUAGGGGAAUUUCCCCAAUGGGGGAAAAACGUAGGGGGAAAAGCGCCGGGGGGGUGAAAGGGUUUCGGAUCUUAAAACUCUUUUUUAUGGGAAAAAAAUAUGUGUAAGAAAAAGUGCGCAUCUUGAGGGGACCCAUAAAAAAAACCCCGCGGAACAACGC